RNAcentral lists this transfer RNA (73 nucleotides) under Canis lupus familiaris (dog). It matches the Rfam family "tRNA". Rfam says of the family: Transfer RNA (tRNA) molecules are approximately 80 nucleotides in length. Lineage: Eukaryota; Metazoa; Chordata; Mammalia; Carnivora; Canidae. RNAcentral also lists the same sequence under 1 other name. The record is from Rfam by way of RNAcentral.
ACCUUGCUGGCUCAGUCAGUAGAGUGUGUGACUCUUGAUCUCAGGAUUGUGAGUUCAAGCCCCAUGUUAGGUA